This 1036-nucleotide long non-coding RNA is filed under the name Equus caballus (horse). RNAcentral's name for it is "lncRNA (ENSECAG00000050421.1)". Lineage: Eukaryota; Metazoa; Chordata; Mammalia; Perissodactyla; Equidae. The record is from RNAcentral.
CUUAUUUACUAAAGAAAUUAACCUUUUCUCUAGGACUAUAGGUUGCAAAUACCCCAGUUUGGUUGUUUUCUCUUCGGAUUGUGUUUACAUUGUUUUUCUGUUGAAGAUGUACUUUAUUUUUGUGCACUCAAAUUUAUUAAUCUUUUAUUUUCACUUAUUUUAUUUUAUCUCCUGGACUUUUGUGUCAUAGUGAGAGAGACCUGCCCCUUAUUGAAAAUCGCUCAUAUUUUCAUUGCCCACUUCCACUGUCCCCAGUUAGACUCUGGUUUAUCUAGAAUUUAUUUGACUGAAAGGUGUGAGCUGUGGAUUCGGUUGAUUUCUCAGACGGCGUUGAGUUGUCUCAGCACCACAAGUGGACUAAUCUUUUCAAGACGGCCUGAAGUCACUUUUAUCUGCAGAUUCCGCUGGGAACCUCAGUGAGACGCUGAGCUUUCUAAGAUGCUAACUCAUCUGCUUCUGGACCAGCACUACCACCACCACCAGGAGGACUUUCAACCAGUAUUUGUGUGGCUCUUUUGAUUUUUACAUGUCUAAUAAAAAAAUAAGCCGGAAAUGUGGAUGUUAUUUCAGGACCAUUUCCCCAGGAUGCUUUGCACAUCUUUCCAUGUAAACCCUCCGAGUCCCUCUGUCUCAGGCCUGUGCCUGCACACCCUCCGAGUCCCUCUGUCUCAGGCCUGUGCCUGCACACCCUCCGAGUCCCUCUGUCUCAGGCCUGUGCCUGCACACCCUCCGAGUCCCUCUGUCUCAGGUCUGUGCCUGCACACCCUCUGAUCCCUGUGUCUCAGGUCUCUGCCUUCACACCCUCUGAGUCCCUCUGUCUCAGGUCUGUGCCUGCACGCCCUCUGAUCCCUGUGUCUCAGGUCUCUGCCUUCACACCCUCUGAGUCCCUCUGUCUCAGGCCUGUGCCUGCACACCCUCCGAGUCCCUCUGUCUCAGGCCUGUGCCUGCACGCCCUCCGAGUCCCUGUGUCUCAGGCCUGUGCCUGCACACCCUCCGAGUCCCUCUGUCUCAGGCCUGUGCCUGCACACCCUCCGAG